This 519-nucleotide ribosomal RNA is filed under the name uncultured eukaryote. RNAcentral describes it as "SSU rRNA". It matches the Rfam family "Eukaryotic small subunit ribosomal RNA", at positions 1161 to 1698 of the family's 1831-position model. The record is from RNAcentral.
AGGGCACCACCAGGAGUGGAGCCUGCGGCUUAAUUUGACUCAACACGGGAAAACUCACCCGGCCCGGACACUGGAAGGAUUGACAGAUUGAGAGCUCUUUCUUGAUUCAGUGGGUGGUGGUGCAUGGCCGUUCUUAGUUGGUGGAGUGAUUUGUCUGGUUAAUUCCGAUAGCGAACGAGACUCUAGCCUAUUAAAUAGAUCGUUGGCUUACAAACGCCGGCGAGACUUCUUAGAGGGACAGGCGGCGAUUCAGCCGCACGAAACAGAGCAAUAACAGGUCUGUGAUGCCCUUAGAUGUCCGGGGCCGCACGCGCGCUACACUGAAGUGAUCAGCGUGCAUUUUGAAACCUACUCUGUCAAGAGUGGGGAACCCAAUGAACCUUCUUCGUGAUUGGGAUAGGGGAUUGUAAUUAUUCCCCUUGAACGAGGAAUUCCCAGUAAGCGCGAAUCAUAAGUUUGCGCUGAUUACGUCCCUGCCCUUUGUACACACCGCCCGUCGCUACUACCGAUUGAAUGUUU